AUUGAACGCUGGCGGAAUGCUUUACACAUGCAAGUCGAGCGGCAGCGCGGGGGCAACCUUGGCGGCGAGCGGCGAACGGGUGAGUAACAUAUCGGAACGUACCCCGUCGUGGGGGAUAACACAGCGAAAGCUGUGCUAAUACCGCAUACGACCUGAGGGUGAAAGCGGGGGAUCGCAAGACCUCGCGCGAUGGGAGCGGCCGAUAUCGGAUUAGCUUGUUGGUGAGGUAAAGGCUCACCAAGGCGACGAUCCGUAGCUGGUCUGAGAGGACGACCAGCCACACUGGAACUGAGACACGGUCCAGACUCCUACGGGAGGCAGCAGUGGGGAAUUUUGGACAAUGGGGGCAACCCUGAUCCAGCCAUUCCGCGUGAGUGAAGAAGGCCU
RNAcentral lists this ribosomal RNA (387 nucleotides) under uncultured bacterium. RNAcentral's name for it is "bacterial SSU rRNA". It matches the Rfam family "Bacterial small subunit ribosomal RNA", at positions 29 to 417 of the family's 1533-position model. The record is from RNAcentral.